CUGGGUAGGAAGGUGCUGCUAUGGGGGGGGGCUGUUGAGCGAGGAGAAAAGGCUUGUUGUGGGCUGCCUGUGCUUGGGUAGGUGAUUGGGGUGUGGGUUGAGCACAGGAGAAAACCAAGUUGCUUCUGCUUGGAGUGCACUGCAGUGAAGGGAGAGACACCAAAUGAGGAAGGAUCUAUGAGGAACUGAGAGGGUAAAAUUCCCCACCCUCCACCAGGUACGUGGGAAGAGUUCCAAUAUAUUGGCAGCUGUUGAGCCAUCUGCUAAUGAGACCAGCUGGUUAACACUCACUGUGUUGGCUGUGGAGAUGAGAGGAGAGAGAGGAAACUGCAUUUGCUGUAUCAAUAUCCCAGCUCUUAAGGGGAGCAUGCACUUUAGAUUCCAAAGAAAGCCAGUCCUGAAUGGAACUGCAGACAGAAUGGAGACAGUUGAGUCUGUCCCAUUUAGGCGUUGGGUUGAAACUUUGAUCACAAGGCUGGAAAAACCUACAAAUCUGAAAGAGCAAGUUAAUUUUUUCUUGUCUGGGCUCUACUGCUUUAUGCUGCUCAGGGGAAUAUGUAGCCCUAUCCAGAAGUUCAUCUGAGUACAAAUGGAAGUAGCACAUUCGAUUAUAUGUCAUCGUGGGCACUGCCGAGCAAUUGAGACACAUGAACUCAGAUCUGGGAUCAUGAUAUUCUAUGAGGGGAAGGCUGGAACCUAUAGCUUCACAAUGCCCCCACCUCAUCCAUAAAACUGUACAGACUUUUAAUGAGUAGCAAAUAAAUUAUGCAAAAAGCUGAAA
Molecule: long non-coding RNA, 781 nt
Organism: Hemicordylus capensis (graceful crag lizard)
Lineage: Eukaryota; Metazoa; Chordata; Lepidosauria; Squamata; Cordylidae
Exons: 2
Source: RefSeq, a predicted model, not a curated record